AGAAGCACAAAACUAAGCAAAACUGCAGUUCAGUUUCAUUACUAACACUUUCUUCAGCUCUAAUAUUAAAACAUUUUCUUUCUACUUUUAUCUUUCAGUUGUCACCUUCUCUAGCAAAGCACCAUUUUCUUUCAUCAGGGUUUUAGAAAUAGCGCCAAUUUGUUUCCACCUCCUCUCUGUACAGCUGUGAUCUUUAAUCCCUGGUAGCAAUCUCUUUUUCUGUGGUUCCUGCCUCACUCUGUAACCCCUGCAACCUUGGAGCAAAUGAGUCUAUUUUUGUCUCUGGAGAUUUGAUGGCAGAUAACACAGUUAUUAGGGACAUCUUUUUCUUGCUCUAAUAAUGAUGAUCUGCCUUCAGUAAUUUUUCCAUGCCCAAAUUGCCAGCAAGGCUGGAGGAACACUCUGACAUGUUUUUCCUGGUGUGGAUCCUGGGCCAGUGUUCAAGCAAAGAGGUCACCCCUGUACCGUAUGUGACCGUGCAGCUUCCCUGGAUUGUGUUACGUGAAGAAAGGUCCAAUAACUCUUUCAACAACAAUUCUUCACUCAACGUUUGGUGGGGAGUGGAAUUUUAAUUUCCUAAUCAGCUGAUGUGAGCCAUGCUGUUCAGACUUCAUUUUAGCUGUCUUAGGAAUUUAGAAGGUUAAAACCAUUUCUGUCUCAGUGGGAUACACAGCUCCUGAUUCACUUUUUAUAACAUCACAGUUGGAUUAUUGCCACUUUGUGUUUGCAGCCUUCCUUGACCAUUCACUGUAUAAGUCCCCAGUUUGCACAAAAUUCAGCAUCUAGAAUGGUCACUUACAAACAUUAGCUUAUCGCAUUGCAACUGAUAACACUGCACUGGCUUCCUGUUAAAUGCACAGUUGUUAUCACAAUACUUACACAUUAUUCAUGUCUUGUAACUGAGACUUGCAGUUGCUUUUUGUUAAAAAUUGAUCUUUUAUUUAUUUAUUUAUUGCUGUCCCUUUUUUUGUAAGGUGCUUCCCAUCAGAGCUAUGAGAUUUUUUUUACUUAUUUAUUAUUAUUAUUCUGUCUUGACUUCUCUAGCAGAAGUUUGGUUUAAUUGUAAUGUAGUUUAAGUGUAUAAUGCCAUGUGUUGCUUCUGCAUGAAGUGUGCUAUAUAAAUGCAAAUGAGCUAAUUAAUUCAUAACAACAAGUAUUAUAACAACACAUUGAUUGUCAUGCUCUGCAGUUUCCAGUUGAACACUGUAUAUGUUUUGUUGGUAGAGGAAUUGCAGCAGGAGGGUUAAUAAUUUUAAAUCUAAGUACCCUUGGCUGUUUAUAUAGAUCUGGAUCUGUGAUUUUCCCUUUGAAUCCUAUACAGAAUUUAUUAAGGGAAUUUAUAAAGGUUCUGCUCUCAGUCCUAGUUGAUGACUUUCUUCUGUGUGAAUGUGGGAGAAAUCACUUUUUUUUUUUCUUUUUUUUUAUGCUUUCAGACAUCACCUGCUUAAGAAAUAGGGACAAUGAUUCCUUUUCCCCUUUGAAAAGUAUACGAAGAGAUAUGAUUAAAAUGAGUGAUGCAGCUGGAAAGUAGUGAACAUGUUAUAAAUUCUCAAUAAAUCAUGCUGAGUUCAGCUUUAGCCUCAUUUGCAUCAGAAUGUUAAAAAACCUGCUAAAAUUACAUUAUUACUCCUCUGUUUCUCAAAUGUUUCUAAAGCUAAGAUGCUCUGAAUUCUCAACAACCUGUAAACCAGUAUUUGACACAUAUAAAAUACUUUCGCUUCCAAAGCAGGAUUCAUGUUAAUAGCAUAGAGU
Molecule: long non-coding RNA, 1752 nt
Organism: Anas platyrhynchos (mallard)
Lineage: Eukaryota; Metazoa; Chordata; Aves; Anseriformes; Anatidae
Source: RefSeq, a predicted model, not a curated record